UGCCCGAUGGUGGAAUUGGCAACACACCUGACUCUGAAUCAGAAGAUUCCAGGUUCGACCCCUGGUCGGGCAA
This 73-nucleotide transfer RNA is filed under the name bacterium. RNAcentral's name for it is "tRNA-Gln". It matches the Rfam family "tRNA". From Rfam's summary of the family: Transfer RNA (tRNA) molecules are approximately 80 nucleotides in length. Their secondary structure includes four short double-helical elements and three loops (D, anti-codon, and T loops). Further hydrogen bonds mediate the characteristic L-shaped molecular structure. tRNAs have two regions of fundamental functional importance: the anti-codon, which is responsible for specific mRNA codon recognition, and the 3' end, to which the tRNAs corresponding amino acid is attached (by aminoacyl-tRNA synthetases). tRNAs cope with the degeneracy of the genetic code in two manners: having more than one tRNA (with a specific anti-codon) for a particular amino acid; and 'wobble' base-pairing, i.e. permitting non-standard base-pairing at the 3rd anti-codon position. The record is from RNAcentral. RNAcentral also lists the same sequence under 3 other names.